GCCCGACCGCAAACUUUUAUCUACACUUUAAAUCGCCAGGGAACUACGAGCUAAGCUUAAAACCCAAAGGACUUGACGGUACCCCAUAUCCCCCUAGAGGAGCCUGUCCUAUAAUCGAUAAUCCACGUUUAACCUCACCAUUUUUAGCCUAUCAGCCUGUAUACCUCCGUCGCCAGCUUACCACGUGAGCGCAAGUCAGUGAGCUUAAUGUUAUUUCACCAAUACGUCAGGUCAAGGUGCAGCAAAUGAAAUGGUAAGAGAUGGGCUACACUUUCUACCUUAGAAGAAACGAAAAACUACCUAUGAAACCUAGUUAGAAGGCGGAUUUAGCAGUAAAAUAAAAUCAGAAUAUUUAUUUUAAGUCGGCACUGGGGUGUGU
Molecule: ribosomal RNA, 379 nt
Filed under: Mertensophryne taitana
Lineage: Eukaryota; Metazoa; Chordata; Amphibia; Anura; Bufonidae
Description: partial 12S ribosomal RNA
Rfam family: Bacterial small subunit ribosomal RNA
Source: RNAcentral